CCUACGGGGUGCACCAGUGGGGAAUAUUGGGCAAUGGGCGCAAGCCUGACCCAGCAACGCCGUGUGAGGGAUGAAGGUCUUCGGAUUGUAAACCUCUGUCAGAAGGGAAGAAGUGCGUAAGGUCUAAUAGGCCUUAUGUUUGACGGUACCUUCAGAGGAAGCACCGGCUAACUCCGUGCCAGCAGCCGCGGUAAUACGGAGGGUGCAAGCGUUAUUCGGAAUCACUGGGCGUAAAGCGUGCGUAGGCGGCGAGGUAAGUCAGGUGUGAAAUCCCACGGCUCAACCGUGGAACUGCACUUGAAACUGCUUUGCUUGAGUACUGUAGGGGAUGGCGGAAUUCCUGGCGUAGGAGUGAAAUCCGUAGAUAUCAGGGGGAACACCGGUGGCGAAGGCGGCCAUCUGGACAGUAACUGACGCUGGGGUACGAAAGCGUGGGGAGCAAACAGGAUUAGAUAC
This 456-nucleotide ribosomal RNA is filed under the name uncultured bacterium. RNAcentral's name for it is "bacterial SSU rRNA". It matches the Rfam family "Bacterial small subunit ribosomal RNA", at positions 338 to 785 of the family's 1533-position model. The record is from RNAcentral.